UCGAAUUGCUUGUUUGAGUGAUCUUAUCGUGACAUUGACUGAGCCCACCUUUGUUUGAAUGUUGCCUCCAGGUGUGGUUGGUGGCUGGAUCCAUGGCAUAGUCGAAAAAAUACAGUUUGAAUGGCCAACUCACCGACCAAGGGCCGAGUUAAAACUAGUGCAUGGCGAAGGAAGGUACCGUAAGAAGAAACCAUCGAAAGUGGUUACUUGAUCAGGCGACUUUGUCACUUCCACUAAGCUCUGAACGUUUCCAGAUGCAGAGAGAGAGGAAAAGUAGUCCAAUCUGAACGUCCCGAGAUCAAUACAUGUCGACAAUAAUCAUUCUUUUGGCUCGGCAUAGCUGAUCAUUUUGAAGAAUGAAGCAAACAUUGCCUUGGUGAUCGCGUUCAAGUCCAAAACUCUGGUUGGUGAAGAAAACCGACGUGAUUGGAUGCAAUCGAUUUGACCUGAAACGAGAGGCUCGUCAAAUUCCCACACGGAAAAUCAUUCAAUCCUAAAAUUGCUCUGUCAUUAUGAUCUCAUAGAGGACCCUUGACCUUUUCUGAGCACUCCCAGAGAUGUUAACAAAUGGAGCGUCAAUUGUCUGUCAUACCUACAAAACCCCAUUUUUGUGGAUUCAAUAUGCUGCCGCUGGGGAUGGCAUACAUUGCAGGUUUAUAAUUUGAUUGGAUUGGAAUGUACUUAUAAGUACAAGUACUUUUUUUAAUAAAAAGGUCAGUGGGUUCCUUGGUACAUGGAACAUACAUCAGGCUUGAAUUGGUGACUAGAGCGAUUUGGCGUAAUUGAUACACUCUAAACUUAACACCUGGCCAAAUUCUAAAAUAGCUUGUUUACUAACCAUUCUUAGUGGUUAAGUACUUCACUCAUCGCACUCUUGGCCAAAUUCGUUUGACAAGGUGAUCGCAAAGAUAAGACAAAUGCACAAUAGAAAAAAUUAUUCCUUUUCCAAUGCUACUCGAUAUCAAUCAAAUGAAAUAGAAAACUGGUAAAGGCUCAAGGGUACUGAAUUGAGCUUAAAACAGAACUUUUUCCCC
Tigriopus californicus is the source of this 1034-nucleotide long non-coding RNA. RefSeq lists it as uncharacterized. Lineage: Eukaryota; Metazoa; Arthropoda; Copepoda; Harpacticoida; Harpacticidae. The record is from RefSeq and is a predicted model, not a curated record. The transcript is spliced from 3 exons.